CCUACGGGAGGCAGCAGUGGGGAAUAUUGGGCAAUGGGCGCAAGCCUGACCCAGCAACGCCGCGUGAAGGAAGAAGGCUUUCGGGUUGUAAACUUCUUUUCUGAGGGACGAAGAAAGUGACGGUACCUCAGGAAUAAGCCACGGCUAACUCCGUGCCAGCAGCCGCGGUAAUACGUCGGUGGCAAGCGUGAUCCGGAUUUAUUGGGUGUAAAGGGCGUGUAGGCGGGAAAGCAAGUCAGAUGUGAAAACUCGGGGCUCAACCCUGAGCCUGCAUUUGAAACUGUUUUUCUUGAGUGCUGGAGAGGUAAUCGGAAUUCCGGGUGUAGCGGUGAAAUGCGUAGAUAUACGGAGGAACACCAGUGGCGAAGGCGGAUUGCUGGACAGUAACUGACGCUGAGGCGCGAAAGCGUGGGGAGCAAACAGGAUUAGAUACCCGAGUAGUC
Molecule: ribosomal RNA, 443 nt
Filed under: uncultured bacterium
Lineage: Bacteria
Description: partial 16S ribosomal RNA
Rfam family: Bacterial small subunit ribosomal RNA
Source: RNAcentral